Molecule: ribosomal RNA, 601 nt
Filed under: Hyperolius howelli
Lineage: Eukaryota; Metazoa; Chordata; Amphibia; Anura; Hyperoliidae
Description: partial 16S ribosomal RNA
Rfam family: Bacterial large subunit ribosomal RNA
Source: RNAcentral
UCGCCUGUUUAUCAAAAACAUCGCCUCUUGAAUAAAUAUAAGAGGUCCCGCCUGCCCCGUGAUUUAUUUAACGGCCGCGGUAUUUUGACCGUGCAAAGGUAGCAUAAUCAAUUGUUCUUUAAAUUAGGACCAGUAUGAACGGCACCACGAAGGCUUAACUGUCUCCCCUCUCCAAUCAAUGAAACUGAUCUUCCCGUGAAGAAGCGGGAAUAAUGAUAUAAGACGAGAAGACCCCAUGGAGCUUCAAACUAAUUAUCAUCUACUUCAAAAAUAUCUGAUAAAAUAGUAGUAAUGCUCUUAAUAGUUUUCGGUUGGGGCAACCCCGGAGUAAAAUUAAACCUCCAGGAUGAAUGGACAAAACCCUAAUUAAAGAAUCACCAUUCGACAACUCAAAAAUUUGACAUCUUUGAUCCAAUUAUAAAUUGAUUGAUCAACGAACCAAGUUACCCUGGGGAUAACAGCGCAAUCCAUUUCAAGAGCCCCUAUCGACAAAUGGGUUUACGACCUCGAUGUUGGAUCGGGGCAUCCUAGCAACGCAGCCGUUGCUUAUGGUUCGUUUGUUCAACGAUUAAAACCCCACAUGAUCUGAGUUCAAACCGGA